GAAUGUAAACAGAAAUGGCUCCCGAGAAUGAUAGGUUGUCACUACACACCCUGAGACAUAACCACAGUUACCUACAAGCACUGCUGAUGAAACUACAGGAAAGAAAACUAACCAAAAUGGACAGUAUCAGUAUGGCUGGAUACAACACUUUCUCUAGGAGUGCUGCAUUUAGUGUUAACUGCCACAAGGUGACAGUGUUUCAGAGCAUUACAGGUUUUACAGUUCCUACCUUGUGUUCUUAGGAUGCUGUACUGUGAAGACAGACUGCAGAUGCAAAGACUGCAAGCCAUAACUUGAAAGCCUACGAGGCCUUGCCCACAGCAACUGUCAAGACAAACAAUUACUCUGGCUCCGGUAGAGAACUGGGAUCGGCUCACACCACUUGCACCAAGCAGCUUUGGAACUAUGCUGGGGACCAUUGUCAGCAACCAUUAAUCCUAGGUAUUUAAAUUCUUUCACUCUUCUAAGCUAUCUGCCUGUAAUAUCCUUUAUGGUGGGUCCUCCUCCCUCAGUUAUUCAGUUUUACCAGUGUUUGCUCAACCCUAUAUUGCCAUUGCUCAAAGUUGGUUUGCAGGGUCUUACAAUCUUCUGCACAAAUCACUAAGUCAUUAGCGAACAACAUAUUCCAAGGCAUCUCCCUUCAUAUAGUCUCAUGUAUCACAUCCAUGUAAACAAAAAGGGCUCAAUACUCUCCCCGAUGCGAGCCAACGUUUACUGUAAAUUCUUUGGUUUAGCCCCACUGGAUUUUGACUGCGGUAGUCACUCUAUCAUAUAUAUCCUGGAUAAGGCAGCCAUAUACUUCUGGUACACCUCUCUGUUGCAAACUCCACCAAACUAAUUCUCUCAGUACAUGACCGUAUGCCUUAGCCAAGUCUACAAAGACCAUGCCCAGUUGCCAUCUCUUUUCCCUGAACUUCCCUAGGAGGAUUUGUGGAGCAAAUAUGACAUCAACAGUGCACCCUUCCAGCAUAAAUCUUUCAAUAAUCUUCUCCCAGACUUUCAUAGCAAGUGAUGUCAGCUUAACUGAGUGAUAAUAUCGCAUAGUAUAAUAUCUCCUUUAUGUUUAAAAAUGGGCACCACAAAACUUUUAUGCCACUCAUCCAGCAUUUUCUCUUUCUUAAGAAUAUCAUGCUCUUAGAUUCUGAUUCAUCACUCUUUCAAAAUAAUCACUCCAGACUUUGUUGGUUAAAUCACCAUUUGUUUGCAAUAUACACCUCUACCUCGAUAUAACACUGUCCUCGGGAGCCAAAAAUCUUACUGCAUUAUAGGUGAAACCGCAUUAUAUCAAACUUGCUUUGAUCUGCCGGAGUGCGUA
Molecule: long non-coding RNA, 1315 nt
Organism: Trachemys scripta elegans
Lineage: Eukaryota; Metazoa; Chordata; Testudines; Emydidae
Exons: 4
Source: RefSeq, a predicted model, not a curated record